CAAAUAAGUUGUUUGUAUAUAACAACAUUAUAUACCAAAAAAAGCAACCGCAACUCCCCUGAUUUCCGAUUCAAGAAGAAGGGCCUCCGCAUUUUAUGUGCGGUCACCGAAGGGUCCGGAGCACCAUUACUUCGAUCCCAGCCCACCGUUGAUCCGGGCUCCGAUUGCCUGCCAUGGUUCCUUUGACACGUUCUUUCUCGAGCGGCGGUUUGUCCCCGAGCUUCCGAGGCUUUCGCGCUCUAAUCGUACAAUUCUUUGUUCUUUCGUUUCUGGCGCCGCUGUUUGUCCCGGUGGUGUUUGGAACUCUGACCACCUUGACCAAUU
This is a long non-coding RNA of Dendrobium catenatum, 324 nucleotides long. RefSeq lists it as uncharacterized. The record is from RefSeq and is a predicted model, not a curated record. The transcript has 2 exons. Lineage: Eukaryota; Viridiplantae; Streptophyta; Magnoliopsida; Asparagales; Orchidaceae.